Molecule: ribosomal RNA, 381 nt
Filed under: Triticum aestivum (bread wheat)
Lineage: Eukaryota; Viridiplantae; Streptophyta; Magnoliopsida; Poales; Poaceae
Description: partial small subunit ribosomal RNA
Source: RNAcentral
AUGAGGAUCACGGUGUGGAACUGCCGGGGGUAGGGGAACGACCCGGCAGUGAGAGGGCUUCUGGAUGUGCAGAAGCAGGAAGACCCCGACCUUCUCUUUUUAUCAGAAACCAAACUUGAUAAAAGGAGAAUGGAAAGUCUCAAAUGGAAGCUGGAAAUGAGUAACUUGGUGGCAAGGGACUGUGAAGGAAAAAGUGGUGCGUUAGCAUUAUUGUGGAAGAAGAAAAUAAAGGUAGAGCUCCACAAUUAUUCCAGGUACCAUAUUGAUGUGGAGAUAACUGAGGAAGACGGAUUUAGAUGGAGAUUUACUGGAAUAUAUGGAGAACCAGCAAGUGAGAGAAGGAAUGUAACAUGGAAACUACUAAUCAUCCUAAAUCAAUAG